AAGUCGUAACAAGGUCUCCGUUGGUGAACCAGCGGAGGGAUCAUUAUAGAGUUUUCUAAACUCCCAACCCAUGUGAACUUACCAUUGUUGCCUCGGCAGAAGCUACCCGGUACCUUACCUUGGAACGGGCCUACCCUGUAGCGCCUUACCCUGGAACGGCCUACCCUGUAGCGGCUGCCGGUGGACUACCAAACUCUUGUUAUUUUAUUGUUAUCUGAGCGUCUUAUUUUAAUAAGUCAAAACUUUCAACAACGGAUCUCUUGGUUCUG
Molecule: unclassified non-coding RNA, 269 nt
Filed under: air metagenome
Description: partial contains small subunit ribosomal RNA, internal transcribed spacer 1, and 5.8S ribosomal RNA
Rfam family: Eukaryotic small subunit ribosomal RNA (bases 1-46)
Source: RNAcentral